GGCGGUCUGAGGCGAUAGUUUUGUUGCGAUCUUGUUUAGUGUCCUCUUCAAAAUGAGUGCUUUAAACCCUUUUGACGGCAUCGAUGAGCCAGUGAGACCUACAGCUGGAGUGUCACGGAAGGAGACAUUCCAUUCUUUUCUGCCUGAAACUGCAACAAAGUUUGAGAAAAUUCAAGCCGAUGGAGCUAUAAAGACUUUCAGCCAAUGUUUGCAAAGGCAUCUUGUUGACAAAUAACAGUGAUUGCUUUUCAC
Molecule: long non-coding RNA, 252 nt
Organism: Paramormyrops kingsleyae
Lineage: Eukaryota; Metazoa; Chordata; Actinopteri; Osteoglossiformes; Mormyridae
Source: RefSeq, a predicted model, not a curated record